UCAGCUGCAACAUGGUAAUCAAGAAAAUUGCAACGAAAAUUGCAAAAAUGAAACAGAGGCAUCGGAAAACGAUCAUGGAAUUCCGAGCCCACAUCCGAAAAUCCCAGAAGAUGCUUCAGGAAUUCCAUGACCAAUAUGGAGAGGACCUGAAGGAACUUACAGGCCUGCAGGAAGAACUGCAAAACUUGCCUUAAACUUAUUCAAAUUUAUUUUUUUAUUAAAAAAGUUUUCUU
Long non-coding RNA from Bufo bufo (common toad), 233 nucleotides. RefSeq lists it as uncharacterized. The transcript is spliced from 3 exons. The record is from RefSeq and is a predicted model, not a curated record. Lineage: Eukaryota; Metazoa; Chordata; Amphibia; Anura; Bufonidae.